UAUGGGGGUCUAUGGGGGGGAUAUGGGGGGCUAAGGGGGGGAUAUGGGGGUCUAUGGGGUGUCUAUGGGGGUCUAUGGGGAUCUAUGGGGGGUCUAUGGGGGGUCUAUGGGUGUCUAUGGGGGUCUAUGGGGGGUCUAUGGGGGUCUAUGGGGGGUCUAUGGGGGGUCUAUGGGUGUCUAUGGGGGGACUAUGGGGGUCUAUGGGGGGCUAAGGGGGGGAUAUGGGGGUCUAUGGGGGUCUAUGGGGGGGAUAUGGGGGGCUAAGGGGGGGAUAUGGGGGUAUAUGGGGGUCUAUGGGGGUCCUAUGGGGGGUCUAUGGGGGGUCUAUGGGGGUCUAUGGGGGGUCUAUGGGGGGUCUAUGGGGGUCUAUGGGGGUCUAUGGGGGUCUAUGGGGGGUCUAUGGGGGUCUAUGGGGGGGAUAUGGGGGUCUAUGGGGGGGCUAUGGGGGGUCUAUGGGGGUCUAUGGGGGUCUAUGGGGGGUCUAUGGGGGUCUAUGGGGGUCUAUGGGGGGGAUAUGGGGGGCUAAGGGGGGGAUAUGGGGGUAUAUGGGGGUCUAUGGGGGUCCUAUGGGGGGUCUAUGGGGGGGAUAGGGGGGCUAUGGGGGUCUAUGGGGGGGAUAUGGGGGGACUAUGGGGGGGCUAUGGGGGUCUAUGGGGGGGCUAUGGGGGGGCUAUGGGGGGGCUAUGGGGGGUCUAUGGGGUUCUAUGGGGGUCUAUGGGGGGUCUAUGGGUGUCUAUUGGGGUCUAUGGGGGCCUAUGGGGCACUAUGGGGGUCUAUGGGUUUCUAUGGGGGUCUAUGGGGUGUGUGACCCCAUAUCCCCCCCUCCCCAGUGGUCUGGGUUACAUCACAGGGGCAAAGGUCAAGGAGGUGGCGACUGAUUGGCGGUGGGCCCUGCGGGUGACCCCUGUACUGGGGCUGUUGGCACUGGUGCUACUGGUGACCCUGGUGACCGAUGCCCCCCGGGGGGGCACCGAGACCCCCCCCCGGGACCCCCCUGACCCACAGCGCGUGGGGCAGUGACCUCAGGGACCUGCUCACCAAGUGGGUGCAAUGGGGUAAUGGGGACAUGGGGGUAAUGGGGACAUGGGGGUAAUGGGGGUAAUGG
RNAcentral lists this long non-coding RNA (1105 nucleotides) under Melopsittacus undulatus (budgerigar). RNAcentral describes it as "lncRNA (ENSMUNG00000022001.1)". The record is from RNAcentral. Lineage: Eukaryota; Metazoa; Chordata; Aves; Psittaciformes; Psittaculidae.